AAGUGCGAAUGCUGACAUGAGUAACGACAAUGGGUGUGAAAAACACCCACGCCGAAAGACCAAGGGUUCCUGCGCAACGUUAAUCGACGCAGGGUUAGUCGGUUCCUAAGGAAUCUCCGAACAAGCCUUCAGUUAUGCGAGAAUCCCCGCAACACCUGAUCCGAGCCGCCCAUGAGCCAGAUGAGCUUUUCCGACUUUGAGUACGCCGGCAAGCGCAAGC
RNAcentral lists this ribosomal RNA (220 nucleotides) under Pseudomonas aeruginosa. Its description in RNAcentral is "partial 23S ribosomal RNA". It matches the Rfam family "Bacterial large subunit ribosomal RNA", at positions 1286 to 1513 of the family's 2925-position model. Lineage: Bacteria; Pseudomonadati; Pseudomonadota; Gammaproteobacteria; Pseudomonadales; Pseudomonadaceae. The record is from RNAcentral.